AUUAGAGUUUGAUCCUAGCUCAGGAUGAACGCUGGCGGCGUGGAUAAGGCAUGCAAGUCAAACGGCCCGCACACUUACUUUGUCAUUGCACUUCGUGCAAGAUGAAAUCGAUGACAAAGUAAGUGUGCGGGUAGUGGCAGACGAGGUAGUAACACGUAGGAACCUACUCUUAAGCCGGGAAUAAUUCACCGAAAGGUGGACUAAUACUCGAUAAUAUCUUCGGAUUAAAGAAGCAAUUCACUUAGGAAAGGGCCUGCGGAGUAUCAGCUAGUUGGUAGGGUAAUGGCCUACCAAGGCAAUGACGCUUAGGGGACCUGAGAGGGUGACCCCCACCGAUGGGACUGAGACACGGCCCAUACACCUACGGGUGGCCGCAGUCGAGAAUCUUCCGCAAUGGACGAAAGUCUGACGGAGCGACG
Molecule: ribosomal RNA, 419 nt
Rfam family: Bacterial small subunit ribosomal RNA